This 30-nucleotide non-coding RNA is filed under the name Rattus norvegicus (Norway rat). Lineage: Eukaryota; Metazoa; Chordata; Mammalia; Rodentia; Muridae. The record is from RNAcentral.
UAGGAGGUACAACAUGCGGGCUCUCCGCUU